UAUCUAGAUCUACUCUAGUUUAGAGAAGAGAGGAGAGCUCUCAUCUCUAAACCCUAGCUUUUGCUCUGUCUAUGAAUAAUGAAUAAUGAUCAAGGGGUGCCUCCUCUAGGGGCCAGGGGGUCUAGUUAUAUAGUCCCCUCAAGUGAAUAUGGGCCGUUGGAUCAAACCGACGUAGAUUGAACGGUUAUCCUUGAUCCUUUAGGUCGGUGGAGAUCUCCCGAGAAACAGAGUCCUGUUUGGACUCCAACAGAGGGCGGGCGCCCUGCCUCUGGCCUCUCUCGGUCUCCGCUUCCUUCCCGUGGCAUCUGGAGUCUUCUAGAUGGUAGAAAAUUGCGCGGCACGUUAAUAUCUCUAUGUAAACCCGACAUGCGGGCCUUUCUUCUGUAUUUCCUGAUAACCCCCUGUAGAAAUAGACAAACACCAAAACUCGUGGAAUUCUGUCAGAUAAAACCCUAAGUCUAGAUGUUGAUUUCAUUUGGAUCCUUUUUUUUGUUUAUUUGAUAAUUAAAUUUGAUACUUAAGGACUGUCAACAAACUCCCCCAAGCUUACCUCUUGCUCGUCCCUGAGCAAGGAUAGACUCAGCAAUGGAUCAGAAGUUGUUGCAAUAUCUUAAAAAUUUGACGGUACACAUGCUUUUAAAUAAGAUCUCAUCUCUGAGUGAGAGUAAACUGUCAAGAACUAAAACUUACUUACUUUACCUUUCACCAUGGGACUUGUAACCGUCACUUCUGUCUUGAGUAGUUAAAAGAUAGAACAGUCUAGCCAAGUGCCAUGUCUCUUAUUCUUGAUCAGCUAUAACUCUGGAGUUUUUGCAGAUUUUCAAAUAAAACUCAGAGAUUCCUUGUAUGACUCUCUAAAUCUCUCUUUUGUGGUAUUUCUGGAUCCUUACCAAGGUAGUGAUGGUAUAUGCCUUCUCUCAAGAUAUGUGGUAUUUGUUAUAUAAGACAUAGUGACAUUGCCUUCUCUCUCACCCUAUUCUAAUAAGGCUUUAAUAUCUGGAGCUCAUAGGUGGGAGAUAAAGUAUACAUACUUACAAGACAUUUAUUGUAUAGUCAAACCAUGGAUCCAAAGAAACAAAACAAUAAGCCAAAUCAAGAUGUGCAUGUGUGGCGAAUGAAUAGUGUAUGGUGAUGACGGUGAUAACAAUGGUGAAAGUCUAAUUCUACUUUUGCUCUUUUGAGGGGAUACAUACCUUCCUUGCUUUUUGAAACUUUAUGAGGAGAAUGAGAUGCUCUUCUUUUUCUUUCCUCUCAGGUGGGUAUCUUGUACCCCUAAUUCUACUGUCGGACACUUGUCCAUUUUUACCUCUCGUCUCACUUUUUCUUUCUUUCGAGGUUCCGGGCACUUGCCCCUUUUUAUUUCCUCGUAUAUUUUUUUUCUUCUUUUCUUCUCUUUUCUUUUUUUUAGAGCACUCAUCUCUUGAGAAUAUAGCAAGUGGUAGUAACAAGAUAACUUGAGCAUUUAUUUCACAAGGGAAAACAGAAAUAUUUUUGGCUAUUCUCUUCCGGAUUAGGAGUAGAAUAUUUUUGGGUGGUUCUGGAGAUGGACAUGGAUGGAUAUAUGUGGAUGGUACUUCCGGAGUAGAAGUAGCAUAUAUGAGUGAACGUGCAAGUGAAUCUUGAUUUAACCACAUGACAAGCUCCUAAGGGUCUACACAGCUUGACUACACUCAAUGCUCAUAAGCAGUAAAUAUUAAAUGUGUGGCUCAAAGUCUAGCAAGCAUGUAUAUAUGGCUGUGGUAGGAAUUUAAACUCUCAUCAUACAGGAACUCAUCAUGCAAUGUUUGAAAGAUUUUUCAAAGAUAAAAUUCUCCAGAAUUCUAGCAUCUCUAGGAACAGAUAAACAGCAGCUCAACCUUCCCAUAUCAUAUCCGUUAACAACUUAGAUUUCAGAUCAAGUUUUCAUCCCACAAGUUUAGAUCUAGAGCAAGCUUUAAAUUAUAACAGUUAUGUCUAAACUUGAGAGAGAACUUCAAAUUUGUAAAUUAGGCAGAGCAACUAUUCAUCAUAUCCAUGCCAGAGUUUUAUUAUUAAGAUUCAGAUUAGCAUAGCUACUUUAUUUAUUUAUUAAACACACUAAGCAAAAGAUAUAUAUAUGUAUAAGCACAAAAUCUUUAUUUGGUUUUUCAUAGUUUAUGUAUUUUAAUAUUCUAAAAUAAUAUAAGUAUAAAGAUAGGUAGAAAUACUUAGCGAGAUAAAUGGGGGUGCUCUCCCCCAAGCUGAAUUUUGACGUAAUUUCUCUUGAUGUAGCUAGCAGGUGGCAGAGGUGUAUUUGAAAGUCAGCAGCAUUCUGACAGCGAUUAGAAUGUCCUCCGUCUGCUAGUCUUCUUGAUUCUUAAAUCCUGUGGAGCUCAAAUAGACAACAAAGCUUGUGGAACUGAUUAAGUGUUAGCAUAAAUAUCUAGCCUUUAUCAUGUUGAGACUCCUUAACAAUUAUUACUCUCUAUUUUUUUAUAUUUUCGUUUUAUAAAGGAGAAAAGAAAUAUUUAUUUUGUUCUUAUGCCACCACAGUGAAUGUACUUAUGGGUUUCAUGCCACGAGCAUAGUCACAUGGGGCUUACUAUUCUUAACAUUUUUAUUUUUCUUUUCAAGAUAGCAUGAUUAACUAAUAAUCUAUUUAAGGAAAGUAAAUAAUUAAAGGGAAAAGGGAAUACAGAAAGGAUAAAUAUGGAUAACUAACGAUUUUACCUUUCGGCGAGGGUUCAAUGUUUUAAGUCUUCUGAACAAGACUUCUCACCGUGUUCAUUCUUCAGGUGCGUCAUUUGAUUCAGGUGCGGACCUUGACGUCUGUACCUCUUCGUUUGCCUAGCAGUUUGAAGUGCGGCGUUGGCAGUGUCCUGCUCAGUGUGUUUGUACUCGUAGAUCCAGGUCGUUCACUUGGUAGAGUCUGAGAGUUAUAAAACUCCUUCGUGUUUUGCUCGAAGUGUACCUGCUCACAGAGACAAGGCAGAGAUCAAGUGCAUGGGUCCUGUUGGUGGAAAACACCAACAGAACCUAAAGUAUAUUUGUUCUUCUCUAACCCUAAGCAUAGUGAGCUAGACAAAGUUGAUGGAUGAAAAGUUCAUGAGUGUAGCACUUAUAACAUUUGUCAGAUCAGAUCACUCAACCUUAUGGAAAGAUAAUCUAUCUAUGUAUAUGUCUUUUUCUUUAUAUCUCUCAAUGAUUGAAUGUGUAACAUUUUAGCUCAUAUGAUUAGGAGUGUGGGAUCAUGGAGGUAGUACUAAGAACAAGGAUUAAAGGACUAAACUUGUUGAAUCAGUUGGGUUGGUUAAUCUAGAGUUGUAAAUCAUACAUGUUUGUCUCUUUUAUUUAUAUGAACGCCAGAACCAAGGAGAAGCUUAUAAAAGUGAUAGUCAAGUACCUUAAGAUGUUACCUUGCUUCAAGAGUGAUGGUACAGUAUCACCUUGUGGAGGCUUUCCUUUCUUAGCGGUUGUGCAUCGUGUUUGUGGCACCCUCCAUGGAUCAUCUCUCUAUGAUGAAUGAGCUAUGCCCUUCUUGUGCAAAUUGUUAAACUUCAUGUGUCACUCUCUUCGUCUCUGAUGUGAGUUUAUCUCAGGACUUCCCAAAUCGAUAUUGAAAGUUUUUCUGCAGGGGUUAGUCCGACAAAAAUAUACCAAUGUCUACACAAGCAGUUUUUAGUUCAAUAACCGAACUAGACUCCAUGUCUAAUCAGAUUAAGGAAGGCUGUUUAACCUAAGCACCAUGCUUAAUUUAAAAGCCAAUAGAAGUAUGUGCAGUACUUCCAAACUAACACUUACUAGUAAAUAGACAAAGGUAACAUGACAGCAUUUAUAGAGAUCUACUCAAGUGGAAAUGAAGUAGUGUGAUUAGUAUUUAACAAAUUGAGCAUGUCUUAAAGGUAGGGACAACCAACAUAGCAACAUGGCAAAGGAUGUUUUUAUGUAAAGUACUCCCCCAAGCUUGAACUUUGCAGAAUUCAAGUUUGGAUGAAUUUAAUUCAGUGUUGCAUGAUGAUUGGUUGGACAUACCUUGUACUUGCUUGUCAUUCAUCUGAUCUUCUUGUUCCAAUCCUGGAAAGGUUAGUGACAAGAAUACCCGAAGGAAUAUUUUUACAAUUAUCCUUAUAUGCUCAAUACACAAGGUAAUGUUGCAAAUAAUUAAAAACUCAUGUUAUGAUCUGAUCAGUGCUUAUUUUAGGACACUAAGCUUGUCCUUGGGAAACCAUCAAUUUAUGUCAGCGAAGUGGUUUCCCUUCCAACGCUGACCUAUAUCAAGAUUAGCUCUACGAGAUCUACAAUAUUUAUUAUAGACAUAUGCAUCGACAACCGCCCUUUUAAAGUUUUUAUAAAUAGAAAGGAAGAGGGGGUUGGAGAUCUCAAAUGUGGUGAUGUUGGAGAGACCAAUAGAUUGGGAAGAUGUUGCAUAUGAGCAUGGAGUAGACGAAGUGGCUAUGAAAUAAUUUCCAUGCUCAUUAAUGUUAUCUUCGCCUCCAAUAUGAAUGUUCGGAGUUUCUCCUGGAUUGGUCUCACCUAUGUCAUCUUCUGUAGUUGGAUGAAUCUCAUCUUCAAAAGGAGUCAAGAACUCACCAUUUGAAAUUGAGCCAAAGUUAGAAUCCAUUAAGGCUUCUUCCUUGUCCAUCCAUUCUACACAUUCCAGCCAUUUUGAACUUGUGAUCAAGACAGGGGAGCUGAUAGAAUCUUCUCUAUGGCUUAGCUCUCCUUCUAUGCCAUCCUUAUGGUCUUCAUGACUCCUAUGGUUUGGUUGUCUUGAUGGACUGCUAGGAUCAUCAUGAGACUUAAAAGGAGAGGGAUAAGAGGGGUCUCUAAGGUCAAGGAUGGAUUUAGAACUUGUGAACAUGGAAGGGGAGCAGAUAGAAUUUUCUAUAUGGCUUAGCUCUCCUUCACUUGAUAUGUCAUCCUCGACUUCUUCAUAACAGGAACCAGGACAUUCUCUAAGAGAACCAUUAUUCCGAGGAUUUGAAUUAUCCAUGCUUGAUGGUCUCUUAUGGAACUAGAAGUCUAAACCAUCAGCAUCUGAAAGAUUUAAGGUCGGAAUUCCUUCCUCCCUUGGAGAAUUUUGGGGUAUUGAUGGUUUAGGAUCGAUAGCUAAAGUUUGGAAUUGAAGUGGUUGUGAUCUGGCUAUCGAAACUUUUUCUUCUUGUCUAGGAACUGGUUCUGUCUCUUUCUCAGGGAUAUAAAUGCUAGGAGACUUUCCACUUAAUAAAUCAAUCAAAUUCCAAGCUUCACUAGCAGGUAGGUGAUAGAAGGAUCCUCUAGAGGCUGUAUUCAAGGUUUGCUUAUUUUCCCCACUAAGGCUCUCAAAAAAGUGAAUUAGAAGAACUUCUUCUGGAAUAGCAAGCUUUGGGCCAGUGAGAGUAAGGUUAAUAAAGUGGUCCCAUGAUUUCCUAAGAGAUUCUUCUUCUAGUUGUCUAAAAGAAAUAAUCUCACGCCGAAGUUCCGCCACUUUGGAGGUUGGAAAAUAUUUAGAAAGAAAACUACUAUAUAACUCCUUCCAAUCUCCAUGAACACUCCCUAUUUUGAGUUUGUACCAAUGUCUAGCUUUUCCUGUUAAAGAGAACGGAAAGAGCUUCCAUUUAAGGGUCUCAUCGGACAUUCCUUCUAUGCGAAGGAGGUCGCUGACUCGAUAAAACUCUCUUAGGUGUGUGUAUGGGUUUUCCUCACCUUCUCCUGAGAAAGGUUGUUUUUGAACAAAUUCUAUGUAUUCGGGGUCUAUCUCAAAACUAGAUGCUAUGAUAGGCUUUGAAGAUUUUGGUGGUUCGAGAUGCGUGCCCGUAGGUCUAUGAAAUUCAUAGAUAGACAUGUUUGAAUUCAUGAUAGACCAGAGAUCAAGGAUUAGAUAAGAAGAAAGAUUAGCAGAGAUGAGGCAAAGGAUAAAAGGAAUAUAUAUAUAUAUAUAUAUAUAUAUAUAUUAGAAAAUGAUUAAGCUAGUUCGUAGUCAACUCAGCAACCGUCUCCCCGGCAACGGCGCCAAAAAUGCUUGUUGACACUUGCUAACACCACUUGAAUACUAGGUUGUCAUCCCCAGCAUGGCACUAGAGUGUACUAUGGUAUUUAUACGCACACAGAUAAUCCGCAAGCGCACGGAUACCGUUGAAGCUUUUACCCGGUUAAAGGUUUUAUCGUAUCCACAGGGAAACGGGAGAACUGAUCUACGCUCUAAAUUAACCAAGAUAAGUAAAUAGGUGUAAAUAGUUAAGAUGGUAGAAUCGAAUAAGAACAAUAUUAAAGGUAAGAUAACAGUGAGUGAUAAUAUGGGAAUAGAGAGUAGAGCAAUCUAAUAUAUGGGCGAUGGUAGCAGAAUAGAGAGUAUAACUAUGGUUUCUCUACUUCAAAGGGGUAUGUCUAUGUCUGGGACGAACCACGUGAUAAGAUUACACCACAAAGGAUGCUUAUCCAUAGGCCGAUAAACCCUACCCGUCCUGCUAACGAGAGGUGGACUACAGAGGACCAACGUAACUGUCACCUACGCGGCCUACCACACGAUCCAGCUAGACAGGGGAUAUCCACAAGUAAUCUAGGUCUAAGCACCACGCUUCCACCUAUACUACAACUCUAACCUAUAGUGUCCUAUAGAUUAGAAGUACUAAAAAGAGUUGUGAACCAGAACAUACAUGAUUAGUAAAUGCAUAAUGAAGUAGAAGUAGAUUACCAGAGUCAUCCCAUGAGCAAGCUUGAUUAGAGCUUGAUCAUGACGAAGUACAACCGGAGGAAGAACCGACAGGCCGGCCUCUCCUCUAAUCCUCCUUCGCUCUCCAUCUCGCUACUAUCUAGAUCUACUCUAGUUUAGAGAAGAGAGGAGUGCUCUCAUCUCUAAACCCUAGCUUUUGCUCUGUCUAUGAAUAAUGAAUAAUGAUCAAGGGGUGCCUCCUCCAGGGGCCAGGGGGUCUAGUUAUAUAGUCCCCUCAAGUGAAUAUGGGCCGUUGGAUCAAACCGACAUAGAUUGAACGGUUAUCCUUGAUCCUUUAGGUCGGUGGAGAUCUCCCGAGAAACAGAGUCCUGUUUGGACUCCAACGAAGGGCGGGCGCCCUGCCUCUGGCCCCUCUCGGUCUCCGCUUCCUUCCCGUGGCAUCUGGAGUCUUCUAGAUGGUAGAAAAUUGCGCGGCACGUUAAUAUCUCUAUGUAAACCCGACAUGUGGGCCUUUCUUCCGUAUUUCCUGAUAACCCCUUGCAGAAAUAGACAAACACCAAAACUCGUGGAAUUGUGUCAGAUAAAACCCUAAGUCUCGAUGUUGAUUUCAUUUGGAUCCUUUUCUUUGUUUAUUUGAUAAUUAAAUUUGAUACUUAAGGACCAUCAACAGUGACAUCCGGGCGCAUCGCUGUUGUUGGGACCAAAGUAUUCGAGUUAUCACCUUUGCUGAUAGUAAGGUGAAAUCGGCUGGCACGCCUUAACGUUUAAAUCGGAUAUUAGCCCUUUGUGUUUGCAGAUCAGCUUUUGCAUCAACAGCAGCGCUGACAGCAGCGCAAGCGAGCGAGAUCAGACAGCAGCUUUCAAUCUUGCAAGCGGAGAUCCAAAGCAUGCAACCUCCACCGCAACCGACGGUCCAGCCCGCGGCUUUACCCAAUGACAGUCCGAUGGUGAACGUGCAACCAGUGAACUACAGUGGCACACUACAGAGCACUCUGGACCUUCGCUCCCCUUUGUCCGAAGGAUUGCAGGCCUCGCCCUGGCCAGCUACCUACAAGCCGAUCACCCUCCCCAAGUUCAAUGGAAAGACAGACCCUCGUCAGUUCCUGAUGAGUUUUGAGGCAGCAGUAGCUUCCGUACGGGGAAUGAAACUGUAAUGGCAAAAUAUUUUGUGAUCGCAACCGAAGGAGAUGCAUUGGCAUGGUACUCAAUGCUCAGGCCUGGGUCAAUUUACUCAUGGGAGAACCUCUGGGACAAGAUUCUAGCAAACUUCCAGGGAUUCACAGCUAAAUCAGUGACCUCCACGGACCUGUUCCAGUGUCGGCAGAGUCAGGAAGAGGCACUGCGGGACUACUUUCAAAGGUUCGUGCAGACCAAGGCAAAGGCACUCGGCAUGCCGGAGGAGGUUGCCAUAGAGGCAGCCAUUAAAGGCCUUCGCAUAGGGCUCUUCACGGCUCACUUGGCCAGGGAAAAGCCGACAUCCAUGCACGAGCUGUACCACGAGUUUGAGAAGUAUUGCAAAUCGGACAACGACUUCCGCAAAAGGCUGGAGGAGCAAAACUCUCAGAAAAAGCAGGUCAACGACCGAAACUUGCAGAAGAAGAACCUUAGCCAAGAUGGGCGUCGUCCUCAGCAGGAAGCUGGUGGGCAGAUGAUGAAGAUCGAGCAACCGAGAAAUGACAAGUCGGGGCAGAACCACCCACCAGCGGAAGCACGAAACUCAGGACGAGGAUUUAACCAAGCUGGAGGAGGUCAGAACAGGGGGUGGCAAAAGAAUCAGAAGCAGCGACAACAGAAGCAAUACUGUUUCUUCCAUGGGGAAGAGAAAGGUCAUUCGACCAGGGACUGCCCAGACGCCAAAGAGACCCAGGAAAGAAUCAAGAACAGGUCGGCACCGCAGCCUCCAUCGUUAGUCAUUCAACCAAGGGAAGUGAACCAUCACAGCUCAAGUUUAGCCUGCCACUUUAGCCUCUGCUUACUAUCCCAGCUUCCUACCGGCCUGGCACCCAGCGCAGCAACUUGCAGAGCAAGGCCAUCACCGACAUGAAGUUGCCCCUACCUAUGCGCCCCCCAACCCCCACAAAUCACAUCUAUCGAGACCACGCAGCCUCACCAGCAAUCACUACCCCUCCACCAAACCAACUUCAGUUACUCCAAGCUCCACCACCACCAAAACCAGAACCUCACCCCGACAAUCAGAUCGGCCCCCAUACACCGCUGCCCACAAUCGGAAUGAUCUUGCUGAUAGCUGGAGGGUCCUUAAUGGAGUUCUAGACCAAGAAGGAGAAGGACUACCUUCGUCUGGUCAACAACAUUGCAGUGCAAGGCCUAGUCCGCUGCACCGAUUGGUCUAGAACCCCAAUAACCUUCUCCGAAGAAGACCUAAGGUUGGAAAGUUACCCACACGCGGACGCGAUGGUCAUAACGGCGAACGUUGCGGGAUGGGGGAUCAACACGAUCUUGAUAGACUCAGGAGUGUAGACAUAAUAUUUGCUAGAACCUUCGAUCAAAUGAAGCUCAGCCGAAUCUAGCUCCAACCUUCGUAAUCACCUUUGAUUGGGUUCGGGGGAAAACAGAUACACGCUCUGGGCAAGGUUGCCCUACCAGUAUCCUUCGGCACCGUGGAAAACGCGAGGACUGAGUAUAUUACCUUUGAUGUGGUAGAUUUGCACUACCCAUAUAACGCCAUAUUCGGGCGAGGGUUCUUGAACAGAUUCAAUGCGGCUGCUCAUAUGGGGUACCUGUGCAUUAAAAUCUCAGCCUUGCACAGGGUGAUCACUGUUCACGGAAGUCAAAAAGAAGCGAGAAACAUAGAGAAAGCAAUCUACAAGUCUUUCCAAAACAUAAACUCUGUUGACUCCACGCAAGACGAAGAUUACCAACCACCAGACAUGCCGAAGGAAAAAACAGACCUAGCUGAUCAGGAGGAAACGAAAUGUGUCCCUCUGGAAGAGGCUGUGCCGGAUAGGAAAGUCACCAUAGCAGAAGAACCAGGACAUCUUUGCUUAGAGUGCCUCUGACCUGCAGGGAGUCAGAAGAGACAUCAUACAACAUUCAUUGGACAUCGACCCAAGGAUGAGGCCAAAGAAGCAGAGGCAGAGGAAGAUGUCUGAGGAGAGAACCUUAGCAGCCAAGGCAGAGGUACACAGACUUCUGGACGCAAAUGUCAUCAGAGAAAUUAUGUACCUCGAAAGGCUGGAAAAUGUAGUCUUGGUCCCCAAGAAGAAUGGCAAAAUGAGAAGGUGUAUAGAUUUCACAGACCUCAACAAAGCCUGCGUCAAGGACUCCUUCCCCUUGCGAAGGAUAGAUGCCUCUGUCGACAAAGCCGCCGGCUGCUAGAGAUUCUCGUUGCUGGAUUGCUUCUUGGGAUAUCACCAAAUCUGGCUCAAGAAGGAAGACGAGGGCAAGACAAGUUUCACAACUCCGUUCGGGACAUAUUGCUAUACCAGAAUUCCCGAGGGUCUCUAUUUAUAUUUGGGAACGCAAUAAGGAAUUGAUCCGCAAGCGCACGGAUAUCGGUGAGCACUUCACCCGGGAAAUUAUCCAGAGUAUCGUAUUUAUUUUUUUACCACUAGGAGAAAGAGUGCAUCUGACUAACCGGUCUAUUACUACUAACCUUUAGGCAACAAAGAAUGUCUCUCGAUGUGAGUGAUAAAUAGAGAAGACUGCAACCGUAGUCUCCUUCUAACCUUGGUAAGGAUGAUCUACUAUUCUAUUGGGGAGGCUAACGGAAUCUAGACACCACAAAGGAUGUUCAACCCGCACCUAUAAACCCUAUCCUUCCUGGUAACGAGAUAUGGUCUGCAAAGGUAACUCGGAAUUGUCACGUUCCUCACUACUACCACGGUCCAGCUAGUCAGGGAAUAUCUAUGAGUACCCCAGCCUAAACACCACGUUUAUGCCAGCAAUGAUUACGCUAAACUCUAUGCGAAGAGAUUAAAGUAAACUCAUAAACCAUAAGAACAAUAAAACAAGAACUUACUAGAAUUUAGAAGUCGAAAUACUGAAGAAUCCUAGGAGCAAGCUUCGGGUUAGGAGAACUUGAUCCCGCAGGUACAAGCUUGGAGUAGACACCGACAGGCCGGGCUUCCUCCAAUCUACACCUCCACUCUAUCUCUCUCAAUCUAGUAGAAACUAGAAGAUCUAUUUCUACUUUACAUUGGUUGCUAAGCCUAAAAAGAAAUAUUAAUUAGAGAAGAGGUUUUCCUUCGAGGGCACCCCUCAAUCUCUAUGAUAAUUUCUUGUCCUCUCCAGGGGCCAGGGGGGUCUCCUUAUAUAGUCCUCCUCCUCUAUGCGUUUUUGGGUCGGUAGGCGAGGUGGUACUAUGUUUUCCUUGAUCCAAUAGGUCGGUGGAACAUCCCGUGCGAAGAGAGUCCUGAUUGGCAGGUCACCAGGGCGGGCGCCCUGGGCCUGGCCCCUUUCGGCCUCUGCCUUCUUCCCGUGGCUUCUGGAGUCUUCUAGAUGGUAGAAAAUCGCGCGGUGCGUUGAUAUCUCUAUGUAAUCCCGACAUGUGGGCCUUUCUUCCUUAUUUCCUGAUAACCCCUGCAGAAACAGAUAAACAACAAAAAUCGUGGAAUUCUAUCAGAUCAAACCCUAAUUCUAGGUGUUGGUUGCAUAUUGGUCCUUUCUCUUGUUUAUUUGAUAAUUAAAAUUGAUACUUAAGAACCGUCAACAAAUACCCCCAUACUUAGGCUUUUACUCGUCCUCGAGAAAAGGAUGGUUAAGAACAAUAUCUGGGGUAAAACAUUUUAAAGCAUUCUAUAUUUGCAGGGUGUUAAAAUUCCACUGUGUACCAUAGUCAGGGAUGUUUAUGGUUAAGAGUAAAGAUCCUUUCUUCUCAAUCCUGUCACUUGGAGUUUUUGUAUAUUUUUGAAAGAAAAUUAGCAUACCUUUUUAUCCUCAUAGGUUCUUCUCAGAUCACUCAUUAUCUUUUAUAUAUCUCACUGAGGUUGUUUUAAUUUGCAAAAAUUUCUCAAGCAUACUUACUUUGCAUUUAUUGCCUGAUCAAAACGGGAUCCGAGGAGGAGAAUGUCAUACUCUUAGAUCAAAGACUUUGGAAAUUAAAAUCUUUGUCAACUCUUGCUGGCAUAUUGCUUAUUAGAGGGACCAUGGGCUAUCAUUUUUCUCUUCUUCUCUCUUUUUUUAAGUGGAUACCGAGGUACCCCUAAUUCUACUACCGGACACUUGUCCAUUUUUUCUGCGAGGUUGUCGAGCACUUGCUCCUUUUUAUUUCCUCGAAUUAUCUCUAUUUUUGCAUAGCCCAUGCCUCUAAUGCAAUAAUACUUCGGAAGAGUGAAUCUUUCUGAAUAAAUGUCUUGAUCUUAGGAGCAUGAUAAAUCUCUCAACAAGGGUCUAACUCAUUUUGAACAAACUCAAUACAGAGUAGAUAGCUUUUAUAAUCAUAAUUAGUAUUUUCAGUUUUUUCAGGCAUAUAAAACACUGAGGAUGGUAGCUAGAAUUUUGAAUAUUUUGAAAUAAAUUCUCCAAGUAGCAAUGUAUCAAGAAUAAGAAACUCAUACUCUACCAUCACAUAUUCCAUAUUGACUUAAGUAACACAGGGUUUUAAAAUGAUUUUAUAAUAAUUGCAAGUUUUCAGGAAAUAUCACAGAUUGAGAUUAAUCAUGAUUAGAAAUAUUUUAAUCUUUUUAAUUUAUCAUGUUGGAAAGAGUAAUCUGCAUAAUCCAAAAUAUAUGUAUGUGUAAAGUAAAGUGAGCAGAGUGUGUACCUGAAUCGUGGAGUGGUGUGGUCGGAGUGUGUUUGGCAUGUCGAGGGAUCUCCCCCAUACUUGUUUUCUGCUUUCUUGCACAAAAAUAAAGUAAAGACACACAAGACAUAAUAAUAAUAAUAAUAAUAAUAAUAAUAAUAAUAGUAGUAGUAGUAGCAGCAGCAGCAGGAGUAGGAGGAGUAGGAGGAGCAGGAGGAGAGCAGCAGCAGCAGCAGCAGCAGUGUAGAAGGUCUAAUCUAGAUAACUUAGCGGCGCUCUAAUUCCUUAAUCUUCUUGUUGGCACUGGCAAGAUCCUGCCUAAGGCCUAGUAUAAUGGUGUUGUGGUUAGAGAGCUGCCUAGUGAGGGAAUUAAUCGAGGACUGGAGGUCUUUGAUAACUCUGUCUAGUCUGCGAACGUCCUCAUCAAUAUCCAUUAUAGUCUUGCGACGCUUGGGUGGUGUCUCAAAAGCAUUGAGAGCGUGCUUCGGGGCUGCCUUUGGAGGGAUGAAACGGACUUUGGCUGCUCUAAUCCCUUCAAAGUAAGGCCUUUCUUCCUCCGUAGUGUAGCGAAUACUACUGAUCUCGCCGCUCCGGUUGGUCUUGACUCCAACGACCCUCUCAUUGGGUCUAGGUGGAAGAAUCCUUGUGCCGGUUGGCACCUUGAUGGUGGUCUUCGUCUUGGAUGAUGAUCCUUUGAGGAGUAGGGGUUGUGGUGGUGCGGUGAGAACUGGUUGAGCAUGAUAGGAUUGGGCAGAGCUGCGUUGGCGUAAUGGCAUGGCUUCUAGCUGUCUUUCUGUGUUGGCCGGGACGAGAGCACGGGCAUCGGGGUCUUCCACAGGCUCCAUGUUGAGGUUGAAGGGGACGACUUCCCAAUCAUCGUGGUACUUCUUGGCCAUUGGAGCAUCAAGGAACUAAUCAAGCUCUAAUUGAAGGAGAGAAGGCUUGGUGGCUUGGUGUUUGAAAACUGAGGUCAGGGGUCUGUUUAUAUAGGGGUCAAAAAGUGCCUCUAUGGGUAGUUCAGGUUGCUCCCGUCGAUGUGCGUGCGAAACUUUCCAUCUGAGGGAUUAUUUGGAUUACCAUAAGUGCAUUUUCCAUAACAGAGAAAAUCGGGACCGAGGGGGAACAGGAGCUGGGCGCCCGCCCACCUGAUCUGGGCGCCCGCCCUCUCUCUGGCCCCUCUAUGGGCCCACUUUCUCGAGCGCGUUUUUAGAUGCGAAAUUAUUUAGAAAAAUAUAUAUAUGACCUAAAAACAUCAGAUUAAAAAGGUCGGACUCUAAUUCUCCAUGGGAAGGUAAAAAUAGACUACGUCUAUUUCUUCUAAUUCUUUAUUGGGCUCUAAAAAUAAUUUAAGAUGUUGACCAUUUACCUUGAAUAACGUACCUUCAUCACACUACAAGAAUCUUGUGAUUUUUUGAUUUUCUAUUUAUGUUAUUACAUAUGAAAAUAAUUUCACAACAUAAGAGUUGUGACAAUUAGUUGACAAAAAACUAUAUGUCAAAAAAUCACUAUCAUAAACGGAUCAUAUGACAUCUGUAUAUUCUUUGUCAUAAGGUAUGACAUUAGUUAUUUGUCAUAAUAUCUGAGACCUCGCCACAUGGCAAAAUGCCACGUAAGAUGAAAAGCUGACGUGGCGAUAACAUGGCACAUAAAAAUAAAUAUCAUAACAUCAAUUUUGGCCUAUUGAAGCCCAUAUAGCAACCAGGCACUUCAUGGGCCAAAUAAGCUCUUUUUAUAGGCUGAAAUUGUUGUGCCAUUUUGUUAAUUGCAGCCCAUUUAAUUUUUCAGCACUACAAUUUCAGCCCAUCUAUUUUUCAGCCCACUAAAUUCAAACCUUUUAAUUUUUUUUGUCCUAUGUAAGCCCAUAAAAUUCAACCCAUCAUACAAAUCACAACACAGCCCAUACAUCAUAGAAUUCAGCCAAUAUAGCUCAUACAUCACAGAAAUCAGCCCAUACAUCACAUAAUAUUAUCUCCAAAUCACCAGUCUUACAAUUCAAGAAUCUGCUGCUCGAACACAACAAGAUAUCACAAUAAUUUCACUCUAAUAGUCUUACGGUUCAAGCAACUAUAGUCUCAACUUUACAUAACAGUAGCGACGCAAUAGCGUAAUAGUGACAACAGCAGCUCAUAACAGCGGCAACAGAGCAGCGCACAACACAAAAUAGUCUUGCUGUAGUUAACAAAAUCAUCCUUCAUGUCUCUUUCUGUUUCUCUAACUGCUUCUCCAAAUCAGACUUGUGAUUGCAGUCCAGCUAAUCUCCAAAUUAGAAAUGAUGUUUAAUAAUCUAUAAGAAAAUCAUUUUUAGAGUCUAGCAGUUACGUAGUUACAUAAAGAAUUUUUGGUUGUUGGUGGUACUGAUAAAUUUACUCUAUUGCAAUUCAUUUCGCAAUGCACAAGAGAAACUCUUUAUAUAAUAUAAAACUGACAUAGAGAGAACCAAACUUUAUUAUUAUCUAAAGUGAAGAAAUUUGAGUAGCUAAAACAGGCUUCAUUAAUUCAUUACCUACUGCACGACUGAGAAGCAACUUGCAAUUAACUACUGCACUACUAUCUGCAACUUGCAAGUACUCCGAAGCUCGACAUGUGAAGCCAGUGUCAUGCAAAACAAAUCAAUUUCUUCAAACCUCAAAAGAAUAAAGCUUGGCCAUGUCGUGCAUGUGACCUGUGCUAGUGAUAAAUUGUUGAUACCUGAUGAUGAUGGGAGGUGCCUAGAGGAGGAAGGUCCGCCGGCUAACUAACCGUGCGGACAUGAAGGAGAGGAGCAGCACGCAUGACGCGUCUCGACCUGCAGGCUGCCGCACAAAUCCUGGCUGGGAAGCAUGUGGAGACAUCAGAACUGACAUGAACGAGAAAAAAGACUGCUCGCAAAAAAAGAGAAAAAAAGAUUUUACAGUAGCACAUCCAUGCAACUAGAUCUCCCAUCUCAACACUAGAUCUCCCAUUAUGCAGGACUAGAUGAAGAUCAAAGGCAGCGGAUCCAACAAAACAGCCUGGAGCCUGGAGCAAACAAUUACGCAGAAAGGUAAGAUAGAAAAGGAGAGAUGGUGGUGGCUACUCACGAAGACAUCGUCGCCAAUAUCAGAGAGGUCCUGCUUGGCCUCGCGGACUACGGCAAAGGGGAUCUCGGGAGCGCAGUCAGCUCCAGCCUGGCCAUGGGCACGUCCUGGCCACCACCGCCGCAUGGUUUCUCCCUGAUGCGCGGGCACUCGUGAGCGCUCGGUAGACACCACCGUCGCCGCCGCUGUUGCGUGUGAAGAGGAUGGGAGGAGAGAAUAGGUAGGGUUUGGAGGAGUCUGGGUGUCACCGGUUUUAACUGGUUGAGAGGUGAUAUGGAUCGUUCGAUCUAAUCGGACGGCUGACGAACAUCUGCUAGUAUACCACGCCAGUAUGGGGCACUGGAGAGUUAGCAGGCCAGGCCAGGCCAAUUGCAGCCCAGUUCAAGAGAUUGCUAGCCUGAAAAAAGUUUGCCUGAGCUGUGUAUGUUCAAUUUUUUUUGUUCUUUUAUAUAAUUAAGAAAUAUUUUAGAAACUAAAAUACGAAUCAUAGUAAUCAUGAUUAUGUAAACUCUAUAUGUCCAACGUAAAAUGUGAGUACAUGUUCCAUAUAAGUUUUCUUUGAAUAAUUCAUAAGUUGAUAAUUUCAAAACCCGAAAAAUUCAAAUAGAAAAUUUAUAUGAUCCAGUAUGGCCGCGUCCCAUGCCCCCGCCAUGAGCCCGUUGGCCGAGCGGCCGCGCCGGUGCCGGGUCCUCUCGAUCUCCGUGGCCGAGCGAGCGAGCGCCCACGCCGGUGUCCGCUCCUCUCGAUCUCCGGUGGCCGAGCAACCGACGUCGCCCGCGCCGAGCCCUGGUACCGCCCGGACCCGACGGUCUAGGCCACCUUCGUCUCCUCCGCGCCGACCUCCUCGCCCUCCGGUGAGGCCGAGGCCGCCGUGGACGCGCUCAUGGAGGCGUUGCUAGAGGAGAAGGUGCGCGGCGGCGGGUUUGUGGACGGGAAGGAGGACGUGUACAAGCUCACGAGGCUGUUGCGCGCGCUGGUGGCCAAGGCCAAGGGCCGCGCGGCGUGGAGGGUGUACGAGGUGGCCGUGAGGAAGGGAGGCCUUGACGUCGACGAGUACGUGUACAAGGUGAUGGCGCGGGGGAUGAAGCGGCUGGCCGGGUUGGGGCUUCACGAGGAGGCGGCGGAGGUGGAGGCCGACCUCGCCGAGUGGGAGGCCACGGUCUCGCCGCCCGCCUGAGACGUGCUCGACGAAAUGCGAGCGAGAGACGAGAGCAACAAGUAUUUUAAUUUUUUCAUAACACAUUUUGUGAGUUUUCUUUCUAUCUUUGUCCAGCAUCUUUGUUCAUAGAGCAACAAGUAUUUUUUUACUAUGUGACUAUGUUAAUUUCAUAAAGUUUAUUUUUUGAUUAAAUAUUAUUUUAACGUUAAUAUUUAAUUUUUAUAAUAUUGUUAUUUUAUCGUGCGAUCCAUGUAUUUUUAUUAUAAAUUGGUAGCUAUCCCGUAGCAACGCACGGACACGCUACCUAGUACACUAACUAAGCAAAACAACUUGCCUAGCUCAGUGGUAAGUCCCUUGCUUGGAUUGUAGGAGCGCAAGUUCGAGCCCUCCCUGUUACAAUUUUUUUUUUGAAAUGACAUUUUUCUGGGAUUGCAGCGCUUAGGAGCUGCGCGUGGCCCAAAUCAAAAGCAACAGAAAUCAGGCUGAGAAAAAAUAGGGCCUGCUACAAUUUCUUUUUGAAUUGGCAUUUUUCUGGGAUUGCAGCGCCUGGGAGCUGCGCGUGGCCCAAAUCAAAAGCAACAGAAAUCAGGCUGAGAAAAAAUAGGGGAAAAAGGAAAAAAACUACUCACGUGAAAAUUAGACAUGCCAACAUGAACAAGAGUAUUUUAAAUAUUUCUAAAAAUAUUUUUUGACACCCAACCUAUAUCCAUUUUUUUGACAUUUAUAAAUUAGGCCUCAUGACGUAGUGAAUAUUGUCAUAGUAUGGAAUUAGAAUAGUUCUAUGACAUUUAUUAUGACAUCGAGCUUUUUUAUGUCACUAGGUCAAAAUGCCUAUUACGGAAUGUCAUAAUCUGGAUUAUAUAAUGACAUCACAGUCUAUUGUCAUACUAAAUAUGUCAAAAAAUCACGCAUUUCUUGUAGUGUCAUUUUGAAGUGUGAUAGCUCCGUGGGAUGAUGAAUUAAUUACCUUGAAUGGUCCUUCCCAUUUGCUCCGGAGUUUUCCAUGCCCGAAAAGCUUCACCCUGGAAUUAAAAAGUAAUACCUUAUCUCCGGGUGUGAACUCCUUCCUCUUGAUUCUCUUGUCAUGCCACCUUUUGACUCUUUCUUUGUAGAUCUUUGAAUUGUGAUAUGCUUUCUCUCGCCAUUCUUCCAAUUCUGAUAGUUGCAUUCUUCUAUAAUCUCCAGCAACAUCAAGGUCCAUAUUCCAUCUCUUUAUGGUCCAGUGUGCUUUGAACUCUAGUUCAACGGGUAGAUGGCAAGUCUUCCCAUACACCAAUUGGUAUGGAGACAUUCCAAUUGGGGUCUUAUAUGUUGUCCGGUAUGCCCAGAGUGCAUCGGGUAACUUGUCUUUCCACGCCGUUCCCAUUUCAUUUUCUGUCUUCUGAAGAAUAUUCUUGAUUUGCUUGUUGGAAGUCUCUGCUUGGCCACUUGUCUGAGGAUGAUAGGGGGUAGCGGUUGUGACGGAUUCCAUGUUUUGAUAGAUAUUGCUUGAAGCGAUCACUUAUCACUACUCUGGGGACUCCAAAUCUUGGAAAUAUAAUUUCUUCAAACAUCCUCUUUGAACUGACGUUGUCGGCAUGCUUGCAAGGUAAUGCCUCUACCCACUUGGAGACAUAGUCAACUGCCACCAAGAUGUACUCACAUUUCUUUGAUGGAGGAAAUGGACCCAUGUAGUCUAUUCCCUAGACAUCAAAGAGCUCAAUCUGAAGGUUGUUGGUGAGUGGCAUUGCAUCCCUUGUAUUUAUGUUUCUGUGUCUUUGACAUGGCCCACAUCUUCUGAUAUAUUGCUUCGUGUAUUCAUACAUUGUAGGCCAGUAGAAUCCACACUGCCAGAUUUUUUGAAUGUGUACGGCUCCAUAGUGACCUCCAUAUGGUGAUGAAUGACAUCUAUCGAUGAUCUUCCAUCCUUCCUCAGUGGUCACACAUCUCCUGAGUAAGCCAUCAGAGCAUACUCGGAAGAGGUAUGGCUCAUCUCAUAUAUGUGAACGACUUUCUUGAAUAAGCUUCUUCUUGUUUGCUCCUGGUGGUACAUACCCUGAAACCAUAAAAUUAACAAUAUCUGCAUACCAGGGGUCAGACCUGUUAAUCCCGUAGAGCAUGUCGUCCCGGAGUGAAUCAUUGAUGGGGGUUUCCUGUGGACUCUUAAAAUACAUUCUAGACAAGUGAUUAGCAACAGAAUUUUCUACUCCCUUUUUAUCUUUUAUUUCUAAGUCAAAUUCUUGGAGUAAUAAGAUCCAUCUAAUCAGGCGAGGUUUAGCAUCUUUUUUAGUGAGCAAAUAUUUUAGUGCAGCAUGAUCAGUGUAAACAAUUAUUUUAGCUCCAACUAAAUAAGAUCUAAAUUUAUCAAUGGCAAAGACAACAGCCAGAAGCUCUUUUUCAGUGGUUGCAUAAUUAAGUUGAGCUCCUGUCAAAGUUUUACUGGCAUAAGCAAUUGCAUGAUGCUUCUUAUUUUUAGUUUGUCCCAAAACUGCCCCCACAGCAUAAUCACUGGCAUCACACAUAAUUUCAAAAGGCAACGACCAAUCAGGGGGUUGAAUGAUUGGUGCAGAGAUGAGUGCUUUCUUUAAUAAAUUGAAAGAUGUUAGACAUGCAUCAUCAAAUUCAAAAGGAGCAUCCUUGGCUAGCAAAAGAGUAAGUGGUCUAGCAAUGAAUGAAAAAUCUUUUAUGAAUCUACGAUAGAAACCAGCAUGGCCAAGAAAGCUUCGAAUUCCUUUUAUAUUCACAGGUGGAGGUAGUUGUUCAAUUACUUCAAUUUUAGCUUUAUCUACCUCAAUACCUCUUUCAGACACUAAGUGUCCCAGCAGUAUUCCUUCCCUAACCAUAAAAUGACAUUUUUCCCAAUUAAGGACUAAGUGCUUUUCUUCACAUCUUUGCAAAACCUUGUCUAAGUUUUCAAGACAACUAUCAAAAGUUUUUCCAUAAACAGAGAAAUCAUCCAUGAAAACUUCCAUAAUCUCUUCAAUCAUAUCAGAAAAUAUAGACAUCAUGCAUCUUUGAAAAGAAGCUGGUGCAUUACAUAACCCGAAAGACAUUCUACGAUAAGCAUAAGUUCAAUAUGGGCAUGUAAAAGUGGUUUUGCUUUGAUCAUUGGGAUGGAUCGGGAUUUGAUGAUACCCUGAAUAUCCAUCUAAGAAACAGAAGAACGAAUGGUUUGCUAAUCGCUCUAGCAUCUCAUCUAUGAAAGGUAAAGGAAAGUGAUCCUUUCUCGUGGCUUUGUUUAGUUUUCUAUAGUCUAUGCACAUCCGCCAUCCUGUGACGGUGCGUUGCGGAAUUAGCUCGUUCUUUUCAUUCAUAAUAACAGUCAUGCCUCCCUUUUUAGGCACAACUUGAACUGGGCUUACCCACUCACUGUGCGGCACAGGAUAUAUAAUCCCUGCAUGCAGCAACUUUAUAACUUCCUUUUUAACUACCUCUCUCAUAGUGUUAUUAAGUCUACGUUGGGGUUCUCGAGAGGGUGAAACAGAAGGAUCUGUUGGAAUACGAUGGGUACAAAUCAUAGGACUGAUUCCUGUAAGAUCUUGGAGUGAGUAGCCGAACACUGAGUGAUGUUUCUCAAGAAUGGUCAUUAAUCGCAGAGUUUGAUCCUGAGUGAGUUUAUCGCUAAUGAUCACAGGAAACUCUGGAUUAUUAUUUAGGAAAGCAUAUGUAAGACCGGGUGGUAAGGUUUUAAGCUCUAUGGGGGGUCUAGGUGUUUCUGCAUACUCAUCUAAGGGUUCAGGCUCAGAAGGUUCGGCUUCUUCUUCUGUGAAGAAAGGAGUUUCAUCUUCUAAGUCUGGUUCAUCUAAAAGCUCUAGAGAUGCAGCCUUUACCUCCUCCAUAGGAUCAGGCAAAAGAUAUGAUUCGGCCUUAUUGUUUAAGGAGUGUGAAAUUGUUAUUGGGAAUUUAAAGGUUUUUCCAAAAGAAAUGUGUAGCUUUCCAGUAUGACCUUCAUAAAGGAGUCUUCUAAAAGGUUGUCCUAUUAACAGGUCGAAGUCCCAUGUAUCAAAGAUAUAGCAGUUCAAAUGAACCAUGGAGCCUUCUACCGUAAGAGGUAGGACAUUAAUAAUUCCAAGACUGGGGACUAAUCGUCCCGAAGAUUCCUUUAUGACCUUUGUUGUGGGGGUUAAGGCAAGAUUUUUAAAUAGUUUAAGUGCAAAAGAUUCAGACAUGAUGUUGAUCCCCACAACAUGAUUAUAAAGAGCAUUAAAUCGAUCAGAAUUAUAAGCACAACGUAUAGUUAUAGAGGGUGUGUCCAUACGGAUCACAUCAGAGGAAAGCUCUGAUUCCUCCAACCAUUCGCUACUCAUUACUGAGAUAAGCUCUCUCAAUUGAUAUUCACUUGGCAAAUAAAUGCUAAACUGGCCGUUUUGGGGUUUGUCAAUAGAAUGGUAGUUUGAAAUAUUUCCAAAAUCGGCAAAAAGAUCGGAUUCUAUAUCCAGCAUGAAGUCCGGUGGUGGAAUUUCUUCCUCUUGUGGCUCAGAACUUGGGAUAGCUAAAGUAGAUGAAGAAUUUGGCAGAGUGUCUACUUUGGCUUCGUAGGUUUCAUCAUGAAGGGUAUUAUCCAUCUCAGCUUCUAGGAUUCUAUCUAGGAUCACUCUAGCUUCAUCAGUAGGGAUGCGAAAGAAAGAACCUCUAGACAUUGUGUGUAGCAUUUGUUUGUGAUUUUUCUAAAGACCUCAAAAAAAGUGAAUAAAAGAACAGGGUUUUCAAGAUUAAGGUUUGGACCAGAUUCCAAAAGAUCAGAAAAACGUUUCCAGGAUUUUCCCAAAGUUGCCUUCAAUGCGAAGACAAUCACAUGUUUGCUCAAAAUCUCUAAUAUGAAGGUAAGGGUUUUCAUCUUCCUUUCCCAAAAAAGAUAGGUUUUGAAUCAUGGCAAUCAACCUAGAACUUAACUUAUACUGGGAUGUUUGGAUAGGCUGUGAUGAUUCCCAUGGUAAAAGGUCAGUUACUGAAGGGAUUGCAGAUUCAUGAAUCGAUUUAGAAUUUUGGUUUUCCAUAAGGUAAGAGUAAAGAAAAUAAAUACAGAAUAUAAAAGAUAAGAAAAGAUAAAAGUAUAUAUACAAGCUAGUAGUAAGACUCAAGGUUAUCUCAGCAAACCGUCUUUCUCCCCGGCAACGGCGCCAGAAAUGCUUGUUGAUAUUUGGGAACGCAAUAAGGAAUUGAUCCGCAAGCGCACGGAUAUCGUUGAGCACUUCACCCGGGAAAUUAUCCAGAGUAUCGUAUUUAUUUUUUUACCACUAGGAGAAAGAGUGCAUCUGACUAACCGGUCUAUUACUACUAACCUUUAGGCAACAAAGAAUGUCUCUCGAUGUGAGUGAUAAAUAGAGAAGACUGCAACCGUAGUCUCCUUCUAACCUUGAUAAGGAUGAUCUACUGUUCUAUUGGGGAGGCUAACAGAAUCUAGACACCACAAAGGAUGUUCAACCCACACCUAUAAACCCUAUCCUUCCUGCUAACGAGAUUUGGUCUGCAAAGGUAACUCGGAAUUGUCACGUUCCUCACUACUACCACGGUCCAGCUAGUCAGGGAAUAUCUAUGAGUACCCCAGCCUAAACACCACGUUUAUGCCAACAAUGAUUACUCUAAACUCUACGCGAAGAGAUUAAAGUAAACUCAUAAACCAUAAGAACAAUAAAACAAGAACUUACUAGAAUUUAGAAGUCGAAAUACUGAAGAAUCCUAGGAGCAAGCUUCGGGUUAGGAGAACUUGAUCCCGCAGGUACAAGCUUGGAGUAGACACCGACAGGCCGGGCUUCCUCCAAUCUACACCUCCACUCUAUCUCUCUCAAUCUAGUAGAAACUAGAAGAUCUAUUUCUACUUUACAUUGGUUGCUACGCCUAAAAAGAAAUAUUAAUUAGAAAAGAGGUUUUCCUUCGAGGGCACCCCUCAAUCUCUAUGAUAAUUUCUUGUCCUCUCCAGGGGCCAGGGGGGUCUCCUUAUAUAGUCCUCCUCCUCUAUGUGUUUUUGGGUCGGUAGGCGAGGUGGUACUAUGUUUUCCUUGAUCCAAUAGGAUGGUGGAACAUCCCGUGCGAAGAGAGUCCUGAUUGGCAUCCAACAGGGGGCGGGCGCCCAGGUCACCAGGGCGGGCGCCCUGGGCCUGGCCCCUUUCGGCCUCUGCCUUCUUCCCGUGGCUUCUGGAGUCUUCUAGAUGGUAGAAAAUCGCACGGUGCGUUGAUAUCUCUAUGUAAUCCCGACAUGUGGGCCUUUCUUCCUUAUUUCCUGAUAACCCCCUGCAGAAAAAGAUAAACAACAAAACUCGUGGAAUUCUGUCAGAUCAAACCCUAAUUCUAGGUGUUGGUUGCAUAUUCGUCCUUUCUCUUGUUUAUUUGAUAAUUAAAAUUGAUACUUAAGAACCGUCAACAGUCUCAAGAACGCUGGAGCAACCUUCUCUAGAAUGAUGAAGAAGGUUCUGGGCAGCCAGCUCCAGAGAAACAUUAUAGCAUACGUCGAUGAUGUUGUUGUCAUGAGCAGAAACAAGGAGGAUCACAUCAGGGACCUGUAGGAAACGUUCGCUAACCUCAAGUCUGCCGGACUCAAACUGAAUCUAGAAAAAUGUGUAUUCAGGGUCAACAAGGGAAAAAUGCUGGGAUACAUUGUUGGCUCCGAAGGGAUCAGGGCAACCCAGAUAAAACCAAGGCAAUCAUGUCGAUGGCAGAGCCUUUGAGUAAAAAGGAGGUGCAGAAACUAACUGGCAGAAUAGCAGCCCUCAACAGAUUCAUUUCUUGAUCCGCAGACUGAAGCCUCCCAUUCUUCAAAGUGCUAAGGGGAGGAGAUAAAACAAAAUGGGGUCCGGAGCAAUUGGAGGCCUUUAGACAACUCAAAAGCUAUAUUGCAACCAAUCUGAUGGUAACUGUGCCCGAGCCAGACACUCCAUUACUGUUAUACGUGGCCCGCUUUCGAACACACGGUCAAUGCUGUCCUGGUGCACGAAACAAACGACCAUAGGGGAACGGUGCAAAGGCCCGUGUACUAUGUGUCUGAAGCUUUGUCAGGAGCAAAGUUGAACUACAUAGAAAUAGAAAAAAUCGCAUACGUAGUCCUGUCUGCAUUGAGGAAGCUCAAGCAUUUCUUCCAAAGUCAUGAGAUCAAAGUACCCACAUCACAACCUUUGGGUGAUAUCCUUAGGAACAAGGAGGCCUCUGGACAUAUAGGGAAAUGGGCAGCCGAGCUCUCACAGUUCGACAUCACCUAUGUCCCAAGAACCUCCAUCAAGUCGUAGGCGUUGGCUGACUUCGUGGUAGAUUGGUCACCUUCAAACAAAGAAGAGAAGAAGGUAGUCAACAUGCCGAGGACACUGUAUACAGAUGGCGCCUAGGAGCAAUCAGGAGCUGGAGCGGCUGCAGUUCUGAUCGCACCAUCAGGCCUCAAGCUAAAAUACGCCGCGAGACUCGAAUUCAGAGCAACAAACAACAUAGCCGAAUAUGAAGGACUCAUCCUUGGGCUGAACAAAGCAAAGGCCUCGAGAGUGUUGGGUAUUCUUAACAUCAUUACCAAAAGUAGACUAAGUUCUCUAAAUCUAGUAACGGUGCCAAAAAUGCCGAACCUAUCCCUCACACCACUUAAGCCAAGUUGUCAUCCCCAGCAUGACAUGAGAGACGCGGUAUUGAAAUAUGCAAUUGCUCUUCUAAAUAUAUAAUGAAUGGGAUCUGCAAGCGCACAGAUUAAUACCGAUGUAGCAUUUUAACUGGGAAGUAUUCCAGGUAUCGUUAUUUAUAGUUUUACCACUGGGAAGGGAUUAACAAUCAUCAAUAUUGAUUACAAAAUAGAAUAUGAGAUUGAGCAUCUAUCAUUGCAUGUAUAAUUGAGAACAUUAUAUCUAACUGUCACAUAAAGGAUAUAUGAAAUAAUGAAUAGUGACAAAGAUAAUUAAUCUGAUCUAGCCACAUAAUAAAUAUGAUAAGCACCUCAAUUAGAUACUCUAGAAAGUCAUUAGCAUGGUAUUAGAACGAACUACAAGAAUAUUCCCUAAGUUAUUCUCAACUAUAUAGUCUAGCAUUAUCAUAAUUAGUGCAAGCAUACUUAGCAACCAUUGCGAGACAAGACUACGCCCAUGCAUAGUGAUAUUAGCAAGGUAAAUGAGAAACAUAGCAAUCACUCCCCUCUAAUAAUGUUGCUCUGCCAGCCCAAUACACGAGAGGGGGACUAUAUAAGAAUCAAUGAAGCUGUCACUAUCACGAACUACCCCACGAUCUGGCAUAUUGGGUACAAUCGCAGAUAAAUACGGUAUAAGCACCAUGCCUACACAAUAUCUAUCAUUUACCCAUGGAUCCAAUGGAUAAACGCUAUACGAUCCUAAGCAUGUAUAUAGAUCCAAUCUAACUAAGCCAAGUACAUGACUAUGAUAAACUAAGAACAAUAUAAUCUUGAAUAUAAGCAAGUAGAGCAAAGUCAUUAGCAAUAUAUUGAAGUAGAACAAAGUCAUAUUCAUAAUACUGAAGAACAAAGAUAAUUAGAAGAACAAUUAGAAGCACAAUUAGAGAAUUACCAAGAAUCCUCUUGACAGAUCUGGAAACCAAUCGAAGAUUGAUUCCUUCUAGUUCUAAUCCUAUGUAGCUAUGCUAAUCUAGAUAUCUAAUUGAUGUGGUGGCUCUAAUCUUAAUCAGAGGCUUCUUCUCCCUUGAAGAAUAAUGAAUUAGGGUUGAGAGGCUCUCUCCUCCAGGGGCCAGGGAGUCUGGUUUUAUAGUCCCUUCAAGUGAAUAUGGGCCGUUGGAUCAAACCGACAUAGAUUGUAUGGUUUAGAUUCAUCCUUUAGGUCGGUGGAGAUCUCCCACGAAGCAGAAUCCUGAUUGGACUCAGGGAGAGGGUGGGCGCCCAGGGGAACAGGGCGGGUGCCCUGCCUCUGGCUCCGUUUCGUCUCCGCUUCGGUCUCGUGGCUUCUGGAGUCUUCUAGAUGUAAGAUAAUUGCGCGGCACGUUAAUAUCUCUAUGUAAUCCCGACGUGUGGGCCUUUCUUCUGUAUUUCCUGAUAACCCCCUGCAGAAAUAGACAAACACCAAAACUCGUGGAAUUCUGUUAGAUAAAACCCUAAGUCUAGAUGUUGAUUUCAUUUGGAUCCUUUUCUUUAUUUAUUUGAUAAUUAAAUUUGAUACUUAAGGACCGUCAACAAACUCCCCCAAGCUUACCUCUUGCUCGUCCCUGAGCAAGGAUAGACUCAGCUAUGGAUCAUAAGUUGUUGCAAUAUCUUUAAAAAUUGACGGUACACAUGCUUUUAAAUGAGGUCUCAUCUCUGAGUUAGAGUAAACUGUCAAGACUUAAAACUUACUUACUUUACCUUUACCAUGGGACUUGUAACUGUCACUUCUGUCUUGAGUGGUUAAAAGAUAGAACAGUCUAGCCAAGUGCCAUGUCUCUUAUUCUUGAUCAGCUAUAGCUUUAGAGUUUUUGCAGAUUUUCAAAUAAAACUCAGAGAUUCCUUUUAUGAUUCUCUCAGAUCUCUCUUUUGUGGUAUUUCUGGAUCCUUACCAAGGCAGUGAUGGUAUAUGCCUUCUCUGAAGAUAUGUAGUAUUUGUGGUAUAAAGCAUAGUGACAUUGCCUUCUCUCUCACCCUACUCUAAUAAGGCUUUAAUAUCUGGAGCUCAUAGGUGGGAGAUUGUUGACACCGUUUUUGGGCACGUGUCCAUGAUCGGUAAAGUGUAGAUCGGCAAGAUAAGGCGGUGGUACUUGGUCUACAGGGAAAGUUGCCGAUGGAGAUGGUUGCUGAUGGAAGGAUGGUUGAACGUGACUAAGUCCAUAGGUGAUGAUGUGCCUGUGCCGAUGGCUACGACAAGGGAGUUUGCCGAUGAUAUAGGGGAAGAGCCUGGGGGUUGCCGAUCGGUCUAUGGAGGUGUUCCAGUUUGUCACGGGGGGAUAAUUUUAUAUUUUCCUUAAUUAUUUAGAUCGUUCUGUAUACGGAUUCUGUGUAAUUUGGAAUUCGAGUUCUAGUCGUGUCUGGUUGUAGCUCUUUGAGCAGGGUAUAAAUGUAGACCCUAGGGCCUUGUAAUUAGACAUCUAUCAAUCAAUCAAACACAAGUUUUUACUCAUAUUCCAGCAUCUACUUUUCGGCGACUUCGUCAUAUUUUCCUUUUUAUUACGAGUUCUUAAGAAUUCGUCGACUUAAGCUCGACGUGUUCUCGAGUUCCGCGUGAGUACCUCUUGGCAUCCGGGCGCAUCGCUGUUGUCAGGACCAAAGUAUUCGAGUUACCUUCCUUGCCGAUAGUAAGGUCAAAUCGGCUGGCACGCCUUAACGUUUGAAUCGGGUAUUAGCCCUUUGUGUUUGCAGAUCAGCUUUUGCACCAACACAUCUUUUGGCACGCCCAGUGGGACAGAUUCAAGAUCAAGAUCAACAUGUCGACCUCUGAGUUUGAUCAAGAGAACGUCAUCCCCGUGACGGAAGCCAAUCUCAAGGAUGAGCAGAAGCAAGCUAUUCCCAAAGCCAUGGAGGACUACAAGCAGCAAUGCCUGAGGUCCUUCAGCAUGAACAGGAGCGAUGAGGUGAUUCAGAAGGAUGCACUGCCGGCACCUCGGCAGGUUAGUUUUGAAGCCAAUCCUGGCAAACUUCAAGAGAUGGUUGACAGCGCUAUCAACGGUGCUUUGAUCAACCAAGCUGGCGUACUGUCUAAUACGGUUUUCAAUGCCGUGGCAAGAACUUUCAAGGAAGGACAAUUCCCACCAGAUUAUGUGGGCCCCACUUAUCAUCAGCCAGGGUCACCGGUGGUCACAGCUCCAUCGGCUGCUACAGCCGCUGCGGGUUCACAAAACCGUUCCUCUAAGUACGUUGGGAGUUACGAAUACACAAUCUACGACGAUGACGACUAAUCCGCAGACUUCAGAUGGGCAGAUUAAACUCGCUACAGAUCUGUUGGCAUCGGCAAUGUCAGGAUUGACUCCUCCUCCUAACUGGUGGGGUUAUGGUAUGCCUCCAGAGUUAACGCCGGGUACAUCGCAGACAACUGACAUGAGAGGCAAGACUCCUAUGGCAUCGGCACCUCCCAAUGCGCCGGUGAACCAGAGUCCCCGGUAUACUACAACUACUACUACAAGACCUUAUAUUGGGAAUUCUCAAGCUCCAAUGUUCCAGAUGCCUAACGCAUCGGCAGACUCAAUGCUGAAACAACAGAGGUUUACAACUCAACCAGGGUAUGACAGUUCAAUGAUCAUGCCCAAUUACCAGUCAUCGGCAGGGCCUAUGCCGAUGAACGCUAAUAAUGGAUGGCUUGGGCAGCAAGUCUUUCUGCAAAUGCCCCAACAGAAUCACCAGGCUACAGGGUUCCAGCAAGGACAGGUCUAUCCCAGAUUCUAGAAUCAGGGGAUCCCUAACCAGCCAAUGAAUCUCGGGCAGCAAGUCGGCGGACAGCAAAUUGGCGGGCAAUAGCUUGGUGGUCCACAGAUUGGAGGCCAGAUGAUCAACCCAAUGUUCCAUGCAGAUCGUGCACCGCACCGACACGUGGAGGCUUACCAGCAGGUGCCGGAUCCGCAACCUCCUCAUCGGCAAGAUGCCGAUGCUUAUUGGGCUGAUAAUAUUGCUGAAGUAAUGAGGGACCAAUUUGGGAUAAAACCCAAAGUCAAUACUUACUCAUAUCGGACACCGUAUCCUCCCACAUAUGAUUUGAUCCCGCUUCCGCAUCGGUACAAGGUACCGGAUUUUACUAAGUUUUCUGGACAGGAUGACACAUCGACCAUGGAGCACGUCAACAGGUUCAUCAUUCAAUGCGGAGAAGCUGGUAACAGGGACGAGUUGAGGGUUCGCUUAUUCUCGUCAUCGUUGUCUAGAUCGGCUUUCACCUGGUAUAUAUCGUUGCCUCCCAAUUCAGUGAUUACUUGGGCCGAUCUGGAGAAACAAUUCCACAAAUACUUCUUUUUUGGAGUCCAUGAGAAGAAGAUCACCGAUUUGGUCAAAUUAAGGCAACGCAAUGAUGAAUCGGUUGAAAGUUUUGUGCAGAGGAUACGGGAAGUCAAGAAUAAAUGCUAUAGUCUGGUUCUGGAUGAUCUGCAGCUAGCCGAUUUGGCUUUUCAGGGUUUGUUGCCACACAUCAGGGAUAAGUAUGCCUCUCAGGAGUUUGAAAGCUUAAGUCAUUUGGUGUAGAGAAUUUCUGAUCAAGAUAUCAAGCCUUUCGAGCCCAAGAGAGCAUGGAACAGAAAGGUAUCGUUUGUUGAUGAAGCAACAAGCUCAGAUUCUGAUGAGGAACCAGUCAUCGGCUUGGCAGAGUGGGUAAAAAAUAAGAAGCCGAUGUCUUGUCCUUUUGGACAUAAAGAACUAGAGAAGUUCGCGUUUGACACCGCUAAGGCCGAUAGGAUAUUUGACUUUCUACUUCAGGAAGGUCAGAUCAAGCUGUCUCAUAAUCACGUGAUCCCAUCGACUGAGGAGUUAAAGAGGAUGAAAUAUUGCAAGUGGCACAAUGCAACUUCUCACGACACCAAUGAGUGCAAGGUUUUCAGACAGCAGCUGCAAUCGGCUAUAGAGUCUGGGAGAAUCAAAUUUGACGGUUCUAAGACCCAGAAGCCGAUGAAGAUCGAUCAACAUCCUUUCCCAACGAACAUGUUGGAUGCUAAGGGAAAGGCCAAGGUCUUAACAUCGGAAGCAGCCGAAAUAAGUGCAUCAGUGGAUCCUCAGCAUCAGGUCACUACUGCUGAUGUGAGAGGAAGGGGCUUGGUACAGGAAGGAACCAGCUCAGGGAGGCCUCCCCGAUCUGGUAUUGUGAUAACCCAUAGAAGGCCUCGAGAGAAUUGGCAGCAACGAGAAGAUCGGUAUAGGCGCCAGCAAGAGGAUUAUCGUCGGGAAGAAGAGAGACGCCGACAGGAGUGGAAUCGGCAUAGGGAUCACUGGAACUGCCCAUUCUUCAUCCAUUGUUGGGAGGAGAGUACCGAGCUCCCUACCGUCAGAGAUUGUCCUGAAUGCAACGGUUACGAUCGGUAUGAUAGGUCCGAUCGGCGCUAUCACGACGAUAAUCGGCGAUCUAAUGGGCCGAUCAGAGGAAGAGCGUCUGUUCACGAUCGGCUGGGGGGCACGCUCAGCGUGCACGACAGGCUUGGUGAUCGUGUUCAGUAUUUUCCCAGGAACCAGGAAGAGCUCGAAGAAAUGGCUAAUGCACGGGUUCCCGAUGAGUUCAUAUUUUGCAGGGAUGCCAAUACUUAUCGGGUAGAGUCAGGGGGAGAUCGUCGCCCAGGAGCAAGGCAACAGCAGCUUUCUCCCUGGUGUUCAGAGGGGUUGACCAGGACACAGAAAAGGAGGCUGCAGCGUGAAAGGCGAGAAGGGUUAAGCAAGGGCGAGAACUCUGGCCAGUCUGGGGAUUAGCAGCAAUCAGAUCCCAAGGGGGAAGGUCCAUCGGCAGAUGUCAACAUGGUCAUUAUGUUGCCGAUGGAGUUCCUUGCGCCAUCCAGUGAUGAUGAGUUAGAGUUCUCCGACCAAAUAGCUCAAUUGGCUCUGGAUCCGAUGACAGCUAUCUUCGAGAAGCCUGCCGAUGAUGAAAGGCAACAUCUCAAGGCUCUAUUUGUCAAAGGAAGGGUUGAUGGGCAGCCGAUGACCAAGAUUCUAGUUGAUGGUGGGGCUGCUAUCAACAUCAUGCCAUAUGUAGUGUAUCAGAAGCUUGGGAAAGGGGAUCAGGAUCUAACCAAGACUGAUAUGAUGCUUAUAGACUUUGAAGGGAAUGUGUCUCCGGUCAAGGGGGCAAUAUGUGCAGAGUUGACCAUCGGUAGCAAAACCUUGCCGACAACCUUCUUUGUGAUCAGUGGAAAGGGUGCUUACAACUUGCUAUUGGGAAGAGAUUGGAUUCAUGCUAAUUGUUGCAUCCCGUCUACAAUGCACCAAUGCUUGGUUCAGUGGGUAGGUGACAAGAUUGAAAUUGUCCCAGGAGAUUCUUCUUACGUCAUCGCAUCGGCAGAGGCGGAUACCUAUGAAAGGACUAGGUGUAUUUUAGGAGAGGUUUGGGAAAAAGAUUUUCUCAAGGUUGCCGAUUAUGAAAUUCCACCGAUCCAAGCAGUCGGUUCUGAGGAUGGUUUUUAAUGGAUAGGUUCGCCGAUGAUGGAAAAUUAGGCCAGGGGUUCACAUCGGCCGAUGAUUUAAUAGAAGUAGAUAUAGGUAGUGGUGAUAAACCUAGACCUACUUUUAUUAGUGCCAAGUUAGAUUGUGAGUGUAAGCAACAGUUAACUGAUUUGUUAAGGGAAUAUAAAGAUUGCUUUGCUUGAGAUUAUACUGAGAUGCCUGGUUUAGACCGAUCAAUUGUUGAACAUCGGUUGCCUAUCAAGUCUGGAUUUCGGCCACAUCAGCAGCCGGCUCGCCGAUGUAAUCCUAAUACUCUCCCUGAUAUUAAGGCCGAGAUAACCAAACUUAUUGAAGCCAAGUUUAUUCGGCAGUGUCGGUAUGCCGAAUGGAUUUCCAAUGUUUUCCAGUAUACAAGAAGAACGGGAAGCUUCGGGUCUGCAUUGAUUUUAGGAAUCUUAAUAAAGCUACGCCGAUGGAUGGGAACCCAAUGCCAGUUGCCGAUCUGUUGGUUGAUGCUGCGGCUGGGCAUCGGAUUAUUAGCUUUAUGGAUGGCAAUGCAGGGUACAAUCAAAUAUUCAUGGCUGAAGAAGAUAUUCCGAAGAUCGCGUUCAGGUGCCCUGGUCUUGUUGGAUUGUUUGAGUGGAUAGUCAUGACUUUUGGCCUAAAGAAUGCUGGUGCUACUUAUCAAAGGGCCAUGAAUUUUAUAUUUCAUGAGUUCAUCGGCAAGCUGGUAGAGAUUUAUAUUGAUGAUGUGGUGGUCAAGUCUGGAAACUUCAGAAAGCAUCUUGCCGAUUUACGAAAGGUGUUGGAAUGCACAAGGAAGCACGGUUUGAAAAUGAAUCCCAAUAAGUGUGCAUUUGGUGUAUCGGCAGGGCAAUUUCUUGGUUUCAUGGUGCACCAGAGGGGAAUUGAAAUCAGUCAGAGAUCUAUUGAUGCCAUCAAUAAGAUAGUAGCCCCUACCAACAAGACCGAGCUCCAAUCCUUGAUCGGCAAGGUAAAUUUUAUCAGAAGGUUCAUAUCUAACUUGUCUGGUAAAAUUCGUGCUUUCAGCCCUCUUCUUAAGUUAAAGGCCGAUCAAGAGUUUGUUUGGGGGAAGGAACAACAGUUGGCUCUAGAUGAAAUCAAGAAUUAUUUAGUAAAUCCUCCAGUUCUAAUUCCACCUCAGCAAGGGAAGCCCUUCAGAUUUUAUUUGUCUACCGAUGGGAUGGUCAUCGGUUCGGCUUUAAUUCAAGAGUUUGAAGGGAAGGAGCGUGUAAUUUAUUAUUUAAGCAGAAGGUUGAUUGAUGCUGAGACCAGAUAUUCGUCUAUCGAGAAACUGUGCUUGUGUUUAUAUUUCUCUUGUAUCAAGUUAAGGCACUACUUGUUAUCGGCCGAAUGCACUGUUAUUUGCAAGGAUGAUGUGGUCCGAUACAUGCUAUCCAUGCCGAUUAUGAGUGGCAGGAUCGGUAAAUAGAUUUUGGCGCUGUCGGAAUUCGAUUUGCGUUAUGAAUCGGCUAAGGCAGUUAAAGGGCAGAUUAUGGCCGAUUUUGUAACUCAACAUUGCGGUACAGUGGAGACUUUGGAAAUUGUGCCUUGGACGCUCUUCUUUGAUGGGUCCACAUGUGACCGGGGGGCAGGAAUCGGCAUAGUAUUAGUUUCCCCUCGAGGAAAGAAGUAUGAAUUUUCCUUGCCAAUUGCUGCCACGUCGACGAAUAAUCAAGCUAAGUAUCAAGCCUUGAUAAAGGGGUUAGAGUUGUUGAGAGAAGUCCAUGCUGAUGCCGUUGAGGUUUUCGGGGAUUCUUUGCUAGUUAUAAAUCAAUUGGCUGGGAGCUAUGAAUGCCGGAGUGAAGCUCUCAUAACUUAUUAUGAGAGGAGUAUGCAGCUGUUAAAAGAAUUCAAAGACUUCUGAUUAGAGCAUGUUCCUCGAUUGCAUAAUGAAGAGGCUAAUCGGUUAGCUCAGCAUGCCUCGGGAUAUCAGCCUAUGAUUAGUACGGUAUCGGCAAUUGGUGCCGAUGAUUGGAGAAAAGAGAUCAUUGAUUAUUUGAAGGAUCCAUCUAAGAAAGUUGAAAGGCGGGUUCGGUUUCAAGCUACUAAGUAUGUGCUCCUCGAAGAUGAAUUGUAUUAGCGAACUAUUGAUGGGAUUCUUCUCCGAUGCUUGGGUGAUGAUGAAGCUAGAAGUUUGAUGGGAGAAAUCCAUGAAGGGGUAUGUGGAGCACAUCAGUCGGCUUUCAAGAUGAAGUGGAUGAUUAGGAGGAAUGGAUAUUACUGGCCGACCAUACUCGAGGAUUGCUUUAAGUAUUUCAAAGGGUGUCAAGGCUGUCAAAAGUUUGGCAAUUGUUGACACUUGCUAACACCACUUGAAUACUAGGUUGUUAUCCCCAGCGUGGCACUAGAGUGUACUAUGGUAUUUAUACGCACACAGAUAAUCCGCAAGCGCACGGAUACCAUUGAAGCUUUUACCCGGUUAAAGGUUUUAUCGUAUCCACAGGGAAACGGGAGAACCAACUACGCUCUAACUUAACCAAGAUAGAUAGAUAGGUGUAAAUAGGAAAGAUGAUAGAAUCGAAUAAGAACAAUAUUAAAGGUAAGAUAACAGUGAGUGAUAAUAUGAGAAUAGAGAAUAGAGCAAUCCUAGUAUAUGGGCGAUGGUAGCAGAAUAGAGAGGAUAACUAUGGUUUCUCUACUUCAAAGGGGUAUGUCUAUGUCUGGGACGAACCAUGUGAUAAGAGUACACCACAAAGGAUGCUUAUCCAUAGGCCGAUAAACCCUACCCGUCCUGCUAACGAGAGGUGGACUACAGGGGACCAACGUAACUGUCACCUACGCGGCCUACCACACGAUCCAGCUAGUCAGGGGAUAUCCACAAGUAAUCUAGGUCUAAGCACCACGCUUACACCUAUACUACAACUCUAACCUAUAGGGUCCAAUAGAUUAGAAGUACUCAAAAGAGUUGUGAACCAGAACAUACAUGAUUAGUAAUUGCAUAAUGAAUUAGAAGUAGAUUACCAGAGUCAUCCCAUGAGCAAGCUUGAUUAGAGCUUGAUCAUGGCGAAGUACAACCGGAGGAAGAACCGACAGGCCGGCCUCUCCUCUAAUCCUCCUUCGCUCUCCAUCUCGCUACUAUCUAGAUCUACUCUAGUUUAGAGAAGAGAGGAGAGCACUCAUCUCUAAUCCCUAGCUUUUGCUCUGUCUAUGAAUAAUGAAUAAUGAUCAAGGGGUGCCUCCUCCAGGGGCCAGGGGGUCUGGUUUUAUAGUCCCCUCAAGUGAACCUGGGCCGUCGGAUCAAACCGACAUUGAUUGAACGGUUAUUCUUGAUCCUUUAGGUCGGUGGAGCAUAAUCCGCGAGAUUGAGCGUGAUUGGCCAUAGGAGGUGGGCGGGCGCCCAGUAGCACAGGGCGGGCGCCCUGUCUCUGGCCCCGAUUCGCCUCCGCUUCGGUCUCGUGGCUUCUGGAGUCUUCUAGAUGUAAGAUAAUUGCGCGGCACGUUAAUAUCUUUACGUAAUCCCGACGUGUGGGCCUUUCUUCCUUAUUUCCUGAUAACUCCCUGCAGAAAUAGACAAACACCAAAACUCGUGGAAUUCUGUCAGAUAAAUCCCUAAGUCUGGAUGUUGAUUUCAUUUGGAUCCUUUUCUUUAUUUAUUUGAUAAUUAAAUUUGAUACUUAAGGACCGUCAACAGCAAUAUUCAAAGAGCACCCGCAUCGGCUAUGAAUCCUAUUAUCAAACCUUGGCCGUUCCGGGGAUGGGCUAUUGAUUUGAUCGGCCAGAUUUAUCCACCAUCUAGCAAAGGGCAUAAGUUUAUUCUAGUUGCCACCGAUUAUUUCACUAAAUGGGUUGAAGCUAUUCCUUUGAAGAAAGUCACAUCGGCCAAUAUGAUUGAUUUUGUAAAGGAGCAUAUUAUUUACUGAUUUGGGAUUCCUCAAACGAUUACUACCGGUCAAGGCACUAUGUUUACAUCAGGGGAGUUUGAUGAAUUCGCAAUCGGUAUGGGGAUUAAAGUGUUAAACUCUUCUCCUUAUUAUGCUCAGGUUAAUGGGCAUACAUUGUUAAAUGAAGCCUUAUGGUCAUACCGGAUGGCUUGUCAUGGAUCGACUAAAGUUUCACCUUAUCAGUUGGUGUAUGGACAUGAUGCAGUGUUGCCUUGGGAAAUUAAGGCUGGAUCUAGGCGAUUGUCUUUUCAAGAUCAGUUGGCUGCCGAUGAUUAUGCUACUUUGAUGACAGACGAGUUGGAUGAUCUAGCAGGGCAUCGGCUGAGGGCUUUGAUGAGUAUAGAAGAAAAUAAGAAGAGAGUUGCAAGAUGGUAUGACAAGAAAGUCAAGGCUAAGGAAUUUGCCAACGGAGACUUGGUAUGGAAAUUGAUUUUACCGAUCGGGACUAAAAGUUCGAAGUUUGGGAAGUGGUCUCCCAAUUGGGAGGGUCCCCAUCGGAUAAGACGAUCGGCUCCUGGUAACGCCUACAUUUUAGAAACUCUCGAAGGAGUCGAAUUUCCCAGAGCAUUAAAUGGCAAAUAUUUAAAGAAAUACUACCCCAGCAUAUGGGUCGAUGCAUAAAGACUUAAAUGCCGAUAACACUCCUAUCGGCUAGAUUAAAAUGUAUCUGGGGCCGGACUUAAUGUUUCAAAAGUUGCCGAUAACAGUCCUAUCGGCUAGACUAAAACAACAAGAAAGCUAAAGAGCGGAAAGAGGCAGGUGUGUUGCCGAUGAAGAGCUCACAUGCUUAGCAGCGCCUGGAACGCCGAUAUGGCGCGCAGCCGGAUUUGGUUGGCUGCUUCUAUCUCUUUGACAUCGUCAUCGGCAGAACCUUCUAUCGGCUUCAGCUUUUUCUUCAACUGCAAUGCCUUGCGACCGUGGGCGUUUCGUUCUUGCUCAAGGAGCUUGAUGGCCUCUGGCAGUUGGCUCUCUUCCUGUUGGGCUUGGGAUAGGGCGUCCUCCACUUGCUUGAGUUCUGCCAACAGGGCUUCUCUUUUUGCCGAUAGGUCGGAGAUCUUCUGCUUCAGCGCGUCUCCUAAAGAUCUCAAGAUGCCGAUGUUCUUGUGCUUCUCAUCGGUCAGGAGUUUCUCUUUCAUCAUCUCCUCAGAAAGCUGGGUUUGAGCAGCUCUAUCGGCAAGGCACCGGGAGGCUCUCUGGUACUGCAGCUGACGACUCUCCAGAUGUGCGGCUUGGAAGAGGAUUUCUUCGACAUCGGCAGGAAUCUGGCCUCUGAGCGUCUUGAACAGAACUUUGGCUGGGUCAGAGUCAUCGACCAGUUGAGCCAUGUCUUGAUGGAGGAGAGCCAACAGUUCUUCUAGCUUAGCCCUGAUCUCUGCCGACGCGAUCCCAACUGCCCGGGAGGAGCUUGCUUCCUCACCUUCAUCUUCGGAGAUAUCAAUGGCAAAGGAAAAUAAGCUGUCGGGAGAAUCCUGUUCCUGAAAAAGAAAAAAAAAGUGAGUCAUUCUAUAGUCAGGACAUCGGCAAAUAACAUUGAUGGAGAUCGGAUGGCUUACUUGCUUCAAGGCAAUUUCUCGCCUUUGACUGGAAGAUGCCGAUGGAGCCGCAGAUAGAUCGGCCAGGAUUGCCGAUGGAACGACGUCAGCUAAAAAUUGACCACAGGGGUUAUGAGACUGAAAAAGAAUAAGUUCAUCGGUGGUGAUGUUAUAAAAAAUGUGUUACCUUGAGGAGGGACGAUGCUUGUCUGGAUUGAGGAAACUACCGAUGACAUGAUUGAACCUGCCGGAUCGAUAGUUUGCUCGCCUACAUCGGCUGAUGUGUCUUCUGGCUAGGGUGCUUCUACUUGGGGUUCUUCUUGCUGGGGUUCGUCUGCUUCUGGUGCUUCUUGCGGUCGAGGGGGAGAUGGUACUUGCUGAGUCUCUACGUCUGGAGGAGAAGGAGAAGAUUCCACCGGAAUGGGAGAUACCGGAUGAGGAGGAGGAGUCGCCACUUUCUGGCGCUUUGUUUGUGCCCUGGUACUCCUGGCACCCUUUCUCUUUUGCUGGCUGGACUAGGGUGCAUCGGCACCUUGGCUCUUGGUUCUUGCCGAUGCACUAGUUUGCUGUUACAGAAGAAAGAAUUUGUGGGUAUCAAUACAGCCGAUGUAAAAAUAAGAUCGGUAUGAAUGAAGAGGCCUAACAGUUACCUUAAAAGCCUAUGCUAGAGUGGAGGCGGUUACCGAUGGUGGUGUCUGAGUUCUCCUGGUGGUAACUUUCUUGAGGCGUAUACCUCGAUGCACGAUGGCAGCCAAGGUAGGGGCAUUGUGGCCGAUUGAAGAGAUUGGACCUGAUGCAAACAGAUCAAUCGGCUUGCCACUUCUACUGACCGAUGGAGGGGUGUUAUCGACCUGCAAAAUAAUACAAAAGUAAGUCACCGAUGAAAAUGAAAUUGGAAGAAUUGGAACAUCAGUUUGAAGACACUUACAGUAUCAUCGGGGACUUUGUACUCGGGGUCGAUCAUACCGCGGUACGUGAGGGCCGAUUUGCAGAAUAGAUGCUCCUUCCAUUCUGCCCACCACUGCUUGUACGCCUGAGUGAUGAAGGCGGCUGGAACCCACUCUGAUAAGUCUACGUCUGUAUCGGCACCCGAUGGCACUUGGGCUACUCGAAUCCAUUCCAGGAGGCUGGUAAUGGUUUCCCUGGGCUUUAUUACAUCGGCGUAGCAGAGUGCAAUCGGCAGCUGGCCGAAAGCUAACUGACGAGCUAAUGCCGAUGGAUUGUAGAACUCAUAAGUCUGGGGAGAGGUUUUCCCACUACCGAAGAAGUUCACUGGUAUGGCUCUGGGGGUCACCAAAGCCAUCAUCACUUUGUUAUCCUUGUCAAGGGCAUCGUUGAACGGGUUAAAAACCAGGGGAAGCAUACUGUCUGGGUCAUCGUAGGCCAACCACGCUCGCUCAUCUCUGCCAAAACCCUCAUACAAAGUUUGGAAGAAUCGGCUGACCUGAUCUGGAUUACCCCCUGUACCAGGCAGAACUAUGACAGCUUCACCGAAGUUCAAGGGAGCGCGUGUUGCCGAUUCCUCUUCAUCCAACACAUGGUUUUCGGCUAUGUCUCUUGGAAAACGCUGUGUGAACAGGUCAAACUCAAGGCGCUUGUGCAGAUGCAGAUUGAGCCACAUAUUGAUGAACCACCAGGGGCCUCCCAAGUUGCCGAUAGACUGGCCGAGCAAGAGUUUCCUAGUCACUUGGUGAAGGAGGUGGUAGGCUGCACCAAGCAGGUAUCGGCCGAGGGGGAAUCAGCCACCAUUGGCCAGAUUUUCAGCUGCCGCUAAGUGGACCGAGGUUGGUCCUGCUGAUCACCCGCAAAACACGAACUUAUCUAGCCACAUGUUCAGGAAACAGGUCUGCUCUUUUAUGUUGAUAGGGCCUGUUCGUUUAUAUUUCUGAAUAUACCCUGACCAACCGCCGAUGGAGCGAGUUUCUACCUUGGCACUGGGCUUGGUGUCGAAAAAAUGGGUGCUAUCGGCAGAAGAUACAUCUAGGCCGGUAAGCAUAGCCACAUCGGCAAGAGUAGGGGAAGCAGGGCCGUGGCCAAAGACAAAGGCGUUGAGCGUGUCUGACCAGAAGUAUGAUGCGGCUAUCAGCAGUGACUCAUUUCUAUGCAUAUCGGCAAUGGAUAACCUAAUGCAUUGAUCUAGCUUUCUUUCACCCCAUUGGACUUCAUUUGAGUUGCUGACCCUCAAAAACCAAUCUGUCCAUCCUACAGUAGGGCUGGGCCAAGAACGGAAAGUAUCCUUCCACAGAUCCAAAGAAAAGUUCUUGGCCCUAAAAGGAAUCCUGUUGGUUUCUGCGUUAAUGAGAUUGGUUGGAUCUGGAUCCCCUAAUGGGCCAAGGCAUUGGAGAUGUGGUUGAUCGGUGGGGAUAACAAUUUUAUCGGACAAUUCCUAGUGGUUUUGGAGGUAGAGAGGGAGAAACAAAGAAAAAAGGAAAUAUUCAGUAAGAUGGAUUGCGGAUGAACAAAGGUGCGAGAAAAGUACGGGAGAUGGAGUGAAGAACUGACCUCCGGAACAAUGAAGUUGACGGCCAUCUUGCCACGGGGAGGACGAUCGGAGGCUCCGUAGUUGGUGAAGAAGAGAUGUCGUCGGGGAUCUUGGAGACCUUGAAAGGCGCCGCCGCUGGGAAAGUAAAGUUGGGAUGGUGGAAUGAUGUGAUGGAGAAGAAGUACCCGAGAAGGAACUAUUUAUAGGACAAAACGGGCAAGGGCAAAAUUGACUUAUCUCUUCGCCGUGUCCGUGAAAUCCGAGGGUGCUCAGGUAGAUAUGGCAACUCUUCGCACGGUAAUCAAGGGAUUGUGCAGGCGAUUUGACAGGAAACGGUCAUUAUCCAGAGAUAUUUUACUGUGCAGGAUCUCCUGGUCGGUCCAUCGGCAGCGUCCUGUAACGGUCAUAUUGCCGAUGAGCGAAUAGAGUCGAGAUAGCCGUUUGGGAAGAUAAGAUACGGGUGUCCUGGUCAGUACAUCGGUAAGUCCCUAUAACGGUAAUACUGCUGAUGCAUGACUAAAAUGGAAAUGUCCGUUGAGGGAAGUUGAGGAUUUCGAGGGAUCUGCGGAAGGAUAGGAUCAGAGUUGUUCAGAUUAAGGCUGUCGGUUGCCAGAUUAGGAGCAUUAAUUGCGGAAAAAGGCAUCAUUACUGCAGAGAAUUUUGGAGCAUUAAUGAUUCUAUACUCCGAAAUUGGGGGGCAUGUGUUGACACCGUUUUUGGGCACGUGUCCAUGAUCGGUAAAGUGUAGAUCGGCAAGAUAAGGCGGUGGUACUUGGUCUACAGGGAAAGUUGCCAAUGGAGAUGGUUGCCGAUGGAAGGAUGGUUGAACGUGACUAAGUCCAUAGGUGAUGAUGUGCCUGUGCCGAUGGCUGCGACAAGGGAGUUUGCCGAUGAUAUAGGGGAAGAGCCUGGGGGUUGCCGAUCGGUCUGUGGAGGUGUUCCAGUUUGUCACGAGGGGAUAAUUUUAUAUUUUCCUUAAUUAUUUAGAUCGUUCUGUAUACGGAUUCUGUGUAAUUUGGAAUUCGAGUUCUAGUCGUGUCUGGUUGUAGCUCUUUGAGCAGGGUAUAAAUGUAGACCCUAGGGCCUUGUAAUUAGACAUCUAUCAAUCAAUCAAACACAAGUUUUUACUCAUAUUCCAGCAUCUACUUUUCGGCGACUUCGUCAUAUUUUCCUUUUUAUUACGAGUUCUUAGGAAUUCGUCGACUUAAGCUCGACGUGUUCUCGAGUUCCGCUUGAGUACCUCUUGGCCGUGACAUCUGGGCGCAUCGCUGUUGUCAGGACCAAAGUAUUCGAGUUACCUUCCUUGCUGAUAGUAAGGUCAAAUCGGCUGGCACGCCUUAACGUUUGAAUCGGGUAUUAGCCUUUUGUGUUUGCAGAUCAGCUUUUGCACCAACAGAGAUAAAAUAUACAUACUUACAAGACAUUUAUUGUAUAGUCAAACCAUGGAUCCAAAGAAACAAAUCAAUAAGUCAAAUCAAGAUGUGCAUGUAUGGCGAAUGAAUGGUGUAUCGUGAUGAUGGUGAUAACAAUGGUGAAAGUCUAAUUCUACUUUUGCUCUUUGAGGGGAUACAUACCUUCCUUGCUUUUUGAAACUUUUUGAGGAGAAUGAGAUGCUCUUCUUUUUCUUUUCUCUCUGGCGGGUAUCUUGUACCCCUAAUUCUACUGUCGGACACUUGUCCAUUUUUACCUCUCGUCUCACUUUUUUCCUUUCUUUCGAGGUUCCGUGCACUUGCCCCUUUUUAUUUCCUCGUAUCUUUUUUUCUUCUUUUUUUAGAGCACUCAUCUCUUGAGAUAAUAUAGCAAGUGGUAGUAUCAAGAUAACUUGAGCAUUUAUUUCACAAAGAAAAAAACAGAAAUAUUUUUGACUAUUCUUUCCCGGAUUAGGAGUAGAAUAUUUUUAGGUGAUUCUGGAGAUGGAAAUGGAUGGAUAUAUGUGGAUGGUACUUCCGGAGUAGAAGUAGCAUAUAUGAGUGAACGUGCAAGUGAAUCUUGAUUUAACCACAUGACAAGCUCCUAAGGGUCUACACAGCUUGACCACACUCAAUGCUCAUAAGCAGUAAAUAUUAAAUGUGUGGCUCAAAGUCUAGCAAGCAUGUAUAUAUGGCUGUGGUAGGAAUUUAAACUCUCAUCAUACAGGAACUCAUCAUGCAACAUUUUAAAGAUUUUCAAAGAUAAAAUUCUCCAGAAUUCUAGCAUCUCUAGGAAC
Molecule: long non-coding RNA, 40587 nt
Filed under: Sorghum bicolor (sorghum)
Lineage: Eukaryota; Viridiplantae; Streptophyta; Magnoliopsida; Poales; Poaceae
Description: long non-coding RNA (SBIC_LNC003427)
Source: RNAcentral